This 253-nucleotide ribosomal RNA is filed under the name uncultured bacterium. RNAcentral describes it as "partial 16S ribosomal RNA". It matches the Rfam family "Bacterial small subunit ribosomal RNA", at positions 524 to 776 of the family's 1533-position model. The record is from RNAcentral.
UACGUAUGGUGCAAGCGUUAUCCGGAUUUACUGGGUGUAAAGGGAGCGCAGGCGGCACGGCAAGCCUGAUGUGAAAGCCCGCGGCCCAACCGCGGGACUGCAUUGGGAACUACCGGGCUGGAGUGCCGGAGAGGUAGGCGGAAUUCCUAGUGUAGCGGUGAAAUGCGUAGAUAUUAGGAGGAACACCAGUGGCGAAGACGGCCUACUGGACGGUGACUGACGCUGAGGCUCGAAAGCGUGGGGAGCAAACAGG